This is a small nuclear RNA of Cornus florida, 197 nucleotides long. RefSeq annotates it as U2 spliceosomal RNA. The transcript has a single exon. Lineage: Eukaryota; Viridiplantae; Streptophyta; Magnoliopsida; Cornales; Cornaceae. The record is from RefSeq and is a predicted model, not a curated record.
CUACCUUUCUCGGCCUUUUGGCUAAGAUCAAGUGUAGUAUUUAUUCUUAUCAGUUUAUUUUUUGAGGGGGAGAGGCCAACAUAGUAGCUAUUUUAAUAAAUCAUUAGAGAAAUUAGAUGGCUUUUAUUAUUAUUUUGAUCUAAAGAGGUAAUAAAUUCAAUUUUUGCGGACUCACAUGACACUUCACUGAACCCCUA